UCGAACGGUAAGGCGCUUUCGGGCGUACACGAGUGGCGAACGGGUGAGUAACACGUGAGGAACGUGCCCUUGACUUUGGUAUAGCACUCGGAAACAGGUGGUAAUCCCGAAUAUUCAGUUUCCCGGGCAUCCGGGUUGUUGGAAAGCUUUUUGCGGUCAGGGAUCGUCUCGCGGCCUAUCAGCUUGUUGGUGGGGUAGUGGCCCACCAAGGCCUUGACGGGUAGCCGGCCUGAGAGGGCGACCGGCCACAUUGGGACUGAGAUACGGCCCAGACUCCUACGGGAGGCAGCAGUGGGGAAUAUUGCACAAUGGGCGGAAGCCUGAUGCAGCAACGCCGCGUGCGGGAUGACGGCCUUCGGGUUGUAAACCGCUUUCACCCAUGACGAAGCGCGAGUGACGGUAGUGGGGGAAGAAGCACCGGCCAACUACGUGCCAGCAGCCGCGGUGAUACGUAGGGUGCGAGCGUUGUCCGGAAUUAUUGGGCGUAAAGAGCUUGUAGGCGGUUGAUCGCGUCGAUAGUGAAAUCCCGGGGCUCAACCUCGGGCUUGCUGUCGAUACGGGUUGACUUGAGGAAGGUAGGGGAGAAUGGAACUCCCGGUGGAGCGGUGGAAUGCGCAGAUAUCGGGAAGAACACCGGUGGCGAAGGCGGUUCUCUGGACCUUUCCUGACGCUGAGAAGCGAAAGCGUGGGGAGCAAACAGGAUU
RNAcentral lists this ribosomal RNA (704 nucleotides) under uncultured Propionibacterium sp. Its description in RNAcentral is "bacterial SSU rRNA". It matches the Rfam family "Bacterial small subunit ribosomal RNA", at positions 62 to 779 of the family's 1533-position model. The record is from RNAcentral. Lineage: Bacteria; Bacillati; Actinomycetota; Actinomycetes; Propionibacteriales; Propionibacteriaceae.